AGACCAGGCUAAUUUUAAAGAGAAAGAAUACAAGGGUUAUAACCUUAACCAACUCAGGCUAUUUGGCAGAAUGAGUAUGACCACACUCCACAGUGAGCUGUACCACUUAGUAUAGUUCAUUACUAUUUUGUGGCCUACAUU
Molecule: small nucleolar RNA, 141 nt
Organism: Acomys russatus (golden spiny mouse)
Lineage: Eukaryota; Metazoa; Chordata; Mammalia; Rodentia; Muridae
Product: small nucleolar RNA SNORA4
Exons: 1
Source: RefSeq, a predicted model, not a curated record